GACGAACGCUGGCGGCGUGCUUAACACAUGCAAGUCGAACGGAAAGGCUCUGCUUUUGUGGUGUGUUCGAGUGGGGAACGGGAGAGUAACACGAGAGUAACCCGCCCCUGACUUUGGGACAAGUUCAGGAAACUGGGGCCAAUACUGGAUCGGAGCUCCCGCUGCUUGGUGUGGGUUGGAAUGCCUCGGCGGUUGGGGAUGGACUCGCGGCGUAUCAGCUUGUUGGUGGGGUAGUGGCUUACCAAGGCUUUGACGGGUAGCCGGCCUGAGAGGGUGACCGGCCACAUUGGGACUGAGAUACGGCCCAGACUCCUACGGGAGGCAGCAGUGGGGAAUAUUGCGCAAUGGGCGGAAGCCUGAUGCAGCAACGCCGCGUGCGGGAUGACGGCCUUCGGGUUGUAAACCGCUUUCGCCUGUGACGAAGCGUGAGUGACGGUAAUUGGAGAAGAAGCACCGGCUAACUACGUG
This 468-nucleotide ribosomal RNA is filed under the name uncultured bacterium. RNAcentral describes it as "partial 16S ribosomal RNA". It matches the Rfam family "Bacterial small subunit ribosomal RNA", at positions 28 to 507 of the family's 1533-position model. The record is from RNAcentral.